Molecule: ribosomal RNA, 485 nt
Filed under: uncultured bacterium
Lineage: Bacteria
Description: partial 16S ribosomal RNA
Rfam family: Bacterial small subunit ribosomal RNA
Source: RNAcentral
GAUGAACGCUAGCGACAGGCUUAACACAUGCAAGUCGAGGGGCAGCACAGGUAGCAAUACCGGGUGGCGACCGGCGCACGGGUGAGUAACGCGUAUGCAACUUACCUAUCAGAGGGGGAUAACCCGGCGAAAGUCGGACUAAUACCGCAUAAAGCAGGGGUCCCGCAUGGGGAUAUUUGCUAAAGAUUCAUCGCUGAUAGAUAGGCAUGCGUUCCAUUAGGCAGUUGGCGGGGUAACGGCCCACCAAACCGACGAUGGAUAGGGGUUCUGAGAGGAAGGUCCCCCACAUUGGUACUGAGACACGGACCAAACUCCUACGGGAGGCAGCAGUGAGGAAUAUUGGUCAAUGGCCGAGAGGCUGAACCAGCCAAGUCGCGUGAGGGAGGAAGGUUCUAUGGAUCGUAAACCUCUUUUAUAAGGGAAUAAAGUGCGGGACGUGUCCCGUUUUGUAUGUACCUUAUGAAUAAGGAUCGGCUAACUCCGUG